ACACUCCUGCGGGAGGCAGCAGUGGGGAAUUUUGGACAAUGGGCGAAAGCCUGAUCCAGCAAUGCCGCGUGUGUGAAGAAGGCCUUCGGGUUGUAAAGCACUUUUGUCCGGAAAGAAAUCCUUGGCUCUAAUACAGUCGGGGGAUGACGGUACCGGAAGAAUAAGCACCGGCUAACUACGUGCCAGCAGCCGCGGUAAUACGUAGGGUGCGAGCGUUAAUCGGAAUUACUGGGCGUAAAGCGUGCGCAGGCGGUUUGCUAAGACCGAUGUGAAAUCCCCGGGCUCAACCUGGGAACUGCAUUGGUGACUGGCAGGCUAGAGUAUGGCAGAGGGGGGUAGAAUUCCACGUGUAGCAGUGAAAUGCGUAGAGAUGUGGAGGAAUACCGAUGGCGAAGGCAGCCCCCUGGGCCAAUACUGACGCUCAUGCACGAAAGCGUGGGGAGCAAACAGGAUUAGAAACCCCAGUAGUCCCAU
RNAcentral lists this ribosomal RNA (474 nucleotides) under uncultured organism. Its description in RNAcentral is "partial 16S ribosomal RNA". It matches the Rfam family "Bacterial small subunit ribosomal RNA", at positions 333 to 798 of the family's 1533-position model. The record is from RNAcentral.